GAUGAACGCUGGCGGCGUGCCUAAUACAUGCAAGUCGAGCGAACAGACGAGGAGCUUGCUCCUCUGACGUUAGCGGCGGACGGGUGAGUAACACGUGGAUAACCUACCUAUAAGACUGGGAUAACUUCGGGAAACCGGAUCUAAUACCGGAUAAUAUAUUGAACCGCAUGGUUCAAUAGUGAAAGCCGGUUUUGCUGUCACUUAUAGAUGGAUCCGCGCCGCAUUAGCUAGUUGGUAAGGUAACGGCUUACCAAGGCAACGAUGCGUAGCCGACCUGAGAGGGUGAUCGGCCACACUGGAACUGAGACACGGUCCAGACUCCUACGGGAGGCAGCAGUAGGGAAUCUUCCGCAAUGGGCGAAAGCCUGACGGAGCAACGCCGCGUGAGUGAUGAAGGUCUUCGGAUCGUAAAACUCUGUUAUUAGGGAAGAACAAAUGUGUAAGUAACUAUGCACGUCUUGACGGUACCUAAUCAGAAAGCCACGGCUAACUCCGUG
Molecule: ribosomal RNA, 497 nt
Filed under: uncultured bacterium
Lineage: Bacteria
Description: partial 16S ribosomal RNA
Rfam family: Bacterial small subunit ribosomal RNA
Source: RNAcentral